CCUACGGGAGGCAGCAGUGGGGAAUCUUGCGCAAUGGGCGAAAGCCUGACGCAGCAACGCCGCGUGCGGGAAGAAGGCUUUCGGGCUGUAAACCGCUUUCAGCAGGAACGAAAAUGACGGUACCUGCAGAAGAAGGAGCGGCCAACUAUGUGCCAGCAGCCGCGGUGAUACAUAGGCUUCAAGCGUUGUCCGGAUUUAUUGGGCGUAAAGAGUUCGUAGGCGGUCGAGUAAGUCGGGUGUGAAAAUUCUGGGCUCAACCCAGAGACGCCACCCGAUACUGCUUGACUUGAGUUCGAUAGGGGAGUGGGGAAUUCCUAGUGUAGCGGUGAAAUGCGCAGAUAUUAGGAGGAACACCGGUGGCGAAGGCGCCACUCUGGAUCGAUACUGACGCUGAGGAACGAAAGCAUGGGUAGCAAACAGGAUUAGAUACCCUGGUAGUCCAUGCCGUAAACGGUGGGCACUAGGUGUGGGUUUCUAUUAACGAAUUCCGCGCCGUCGCUAACGCAUUAAGUGCCCCGCCUGGGGAGUACGGUCGCAAGCUAAAACGUCAAAUGAAUUGACGG
This 563-nucleotide ribosomal RNA is filed under the name uncultured bacterium. RNAcentral's name for it is "bacterial SSU rRNA". It matches the Rfam family "Bacterial small subunit ribosomal RNA", at positions 338 to 916 of the family's 1533-position model. The record is from RNAcentral.